Drosophila biarmipes is the source of this 467-nucleotide long non-coding RNA. RefSeq lists it as uncharacterized. NCBI's taxonomy places the organism in Eukaryota, Metazoa, Arthropoda, Insecta, Diptera, Drosophilidae. The transcript is spliced from 2 exons. The record is from RefSeq and is a predicted model, not a curated record.
AUGGAGGUUCGCAGCUUCUACGAUGCUGAGGCACCAUCCUAACACCAUUUUGCAGUUCUAGCCGACGAGGUGAAGGUAUGGGUGCAUCGACGGCACUCCUAAUACAAGAUUGAAAUUCGGAGCUCCCUUCUAUGCGUACUCCGAAGACGAGAAGUGUGGCUCCGACGACAAGAUUGGUUAGGGCUCUCCGAUUACCGAAGAUUUGGCUAAAGGUACAUGUGAUAAGCGCUCAAAUGAGAAUCCGCCAAUUCAAUCUCUAGAUGACGGCUAUGAACAUCGAAUUAAUACAAGUUUAAUAAAAAGACCAAACAAACACUGCGAAACAUGACAAAUUUAAUUUUUAACUUCACUUAUGGAAAGUACACACCGAAACUAGCUAAACCCAUUCGGUUCUCUCUGGCUCAAAUAUUUAACAGCAAGCUAACAAACAAUUAUCUUUCAAAUUAAAGUGGACGCAUUUUAGAGUU